Molecule: transfer RNA, 82 nt
Filed under: Clostridium sp.
Lineage: Bacteria; Bacillati; Bacillota; Clostridia; Eubacteriales; Clostridiaceae
Description: tRNA-Ser
Rfam family: tRNA
About the family: Transfer RNA (tRNA) molecules are approximately 80 nucleotides in length. Their secondary structure includes four short double-helical elements and three loops (D, anti-codon, and T loops).
Source: RNAcentral
GAUAGUGUGGUGAAAUGGUAAACGCGGAAGAUUGCUAAUCUUUGGGAAAUAUUCCUUGUGAGUUCGAGUCUCAUCACUGUCU